UAUUAUACCAGUAGAUAUAUGCAACUUAAAAUAUUAAUAGAUAUAAUCUUUAAAUUUGAAGAAUUUGGCGGUGACUUAGUCCUGUUAGAGGAACCUGUUUUUGAAUCGAUACACCACGUAUAAUUUUACUUAUUCUAAUUAGUUUGUAUACCGUCAUUAUCAGACAAUUUUUAAAAAAAGAAUUGUUGAAAUUUUGGGCCAAGGGAAAAUUAGAUCAAGGUGCAGCUUAUGAGUAAGUUAAAAUGGGUUACAAUAAAAUUUAUUUACAUGAAAUGGUAUCAAGAAAAUGGAUUAUGAAGGUGGAUUUAAUUGUAAUAUAAAUUUAAUAAGUUUAGAAGAUAUAGGCUCUAAAUCAU
This 356-nucleotide ribosomal RNA is filed under the name Luniella scabriculus. RNAcentral's name for it is "partial 12S ribosomal RNA". The record is from RNAcentral. Lineage: Eukaryota; Metazoa; Arthropoda; Malacostraca; Decapoda; Xanthidae.